CCUACGGGAGGCAGCAGUGGGGAAUAUUGGGCAAUGGGCGCAAGCCUGACCCAGCAACGCCGCGUGAAGGAAGCAGGCUUUCGGGUUGUAAACUUCUUUUAAGGGGGAAGAGCAGAAGACGGUACCCCUUGAAUAAGCCACGGCUAACUACGUGCCAGCAGCCGCGGUAAAACGUAGGUGGCAAGCGUUGUCCGGAUAUACUGGGGGUAAAGGGCGUGCAACCGGAGAGACAAGUCCGGUGUGAAAUCCACGGGCUCAACCCGUGAACUGCAUUUGAAACUGUUUCCCUUGAGUGUCGGAGAGGUAAGCGGAAUUCCUUGUGUAGCGGUGAAAUGCGGAGAUAUAAGGAAGAACACCAGUGGCGAAGGCGGAUUACUGGACGAUGACUGACGGUGAGGCGCGAAAGCGUGGGGAGCAAACAGGAUUAGAUACCCCAGUAGUC
Molecule: ribosomal RNA, 442 nt
Filed under: uncultured bacterium
Lineage: Bacteria
Description: partial 16S ribosomal RNA
Rfam family: Bacterial small subunit ribosomal RNA
Source: RNAcentral